RNAcentral lists this ribosomal RNA (354 nucleotides) under uncultured bacterium. RNAcentral's name for it is "bacterial SSU rRNA". It matches the Rfam family "Bacterial small subunit ribosomal RNA", at positions 22 to 356 of the family's 1533-position model. The record is from RNAcentral.
GCUCAGGAUGAACGCUGGCGGCGUGCUUAACACAUGCAAGUCGAACGAAACACCUUAUUUGAUUUUCUUCGGAACUGAAGAUUUGGUGAUUGAGUGGCGGACGGGUGAGUAACGCGUGGGUAACCUGCCCUGUACAGGGGGAUAACAGUCAGAAAUGACUGCUAAUACCGCAUAAGACCACAGCACCGCAUGGUGCAGGGGUAAAAACUCCGGUGGUACAGGAUGGACCCGCGUCUGAUUAGCUGGUUGGUGAGGUAACGGCUCACCAAGGCGACGAUCAGUAGCCGGCUUGAGAGAGUGAACGGCCACAUUGGGACUGAGACACGGCCCAAACUCCUACGGGAGGCAGCAGUA